Molecule: long non-coding RNA, 1531 nt
Organism: Apis florea (little honeybee)
Lineage: Eukaryota; Metazoa; Arthropoda; Insecta; Hymenoptera; Apidae
Source: RefSeq, a predicted model, not a curated record
GAAAGACGAUUCCGCCAGCCAGUUUCGCUUCGACCGCUGUGUCGUGUGGAUGAAAAAUUUAUUCGUGUUCAAUUUCGAAUAUAAUUUAGUUGCAUAUAUAUUUCAUCAAUUUAUAUGCGUUUUAUUCAUAAUAUUUAUAUUAUGUAUAUUUAUUUGCAAAUAUUUUAAUUAUAUUUAUUCGCGAGUGUAACAAUUUUGUGUUUUAUUUGGUAGAGCGUUGGUAUAAUUCAUCUCUAUCAUGGAUGAAGCUGUUACUACAAACAAACAAGAUAAGUAGCUGAUUAUUGAGACUAUUUUAUGCAAAAAAAAAAAAAUUUCAAUAUAGAUGCCAUGAUGAUAUUCUAUAUUUUAUAAAGAAGAGAAACCAAUGGAAUCAAUUGGAAUUAAAUAAAAAAGAGAGAGAUUUAAGAUGGUCGCCAUUAGUCCGAGUUUUCCACAGGAGCGAAGCAGCUACGUUUCUUCGCCGGGAUAAUUAUUGAAUGUAGCAUGGAGAAGAAGACCUCGGAGAAGGGAGAUCUCAUAACUUAUAUCUUAAUGAGCUUACGUUGCUUGCGAUGUUUUAAUGAAUACUAAUGAACUCGAAAAUUUUUCUCAUCCCAAAGGGAAAAGUGCGGAUCCGUCCAGUUUUUUAACCGAGAAUAAUUGGUCCUAUUCUUGGGCCGAAAGAUUUAUAAAUGGAAGAAAGAAGAGGGGCGAAACAAGCAUUUUUUUUCAAUUUAUAAUCAUUCUUUCGUUACACGAUAUCGCCGAUGUUUACGAUGUCCUUCCUUUUUCCCAUCUCUCUCUCUCUUUUGUUGAUCGAGAGAGAAAAUUACGAAAUGAAAUAAGUGCAAGAUUUUAAAUAAGAUUAAAAAAUUUUAAUCAACAUAAUUUAUCGAUUCACGAUUAAACUUUGUAUUUGAGUUCAGCAAGAAUUAACAUUUCGUCGCGAAUAUAAUAUAAUAGCUAGAAAAGGAAUUAUGUGAAAGAACGAUGAAAAAUAGAAGUCAAAAAAAAAAAAAGAAGAAGGAAAAGAAAAUAUAACCAACUAAUUAAAUAUCUAGAAUAAUAGAUAACUACAAAACUAGGACAAAAAAUUCCACAAUGAGAGGAAAAAAAAAAAAAAAAAAGAAAAGUGAAAGGAUCGACGAUUAAAUAUUUUCGUUUACUGGAAAAAGCGUAUUUGAAUGUCGGUGAUAAUUUAGAUAUUUAUCACAUUAAAAUUUCGAAUCCUCGCCGACAUCAUUUUUCUUCCCGUCGUUUUCAUUUCUUGCCAAAUAUACCGCGACAAUCUAGUUUUUUUUCUUCUUUCUUCUUUUUCGUUUAUUUUUUUUUUUUUUUUUUUUAAGCAACGUGUCACGCGUCAAUCGAGCGAAUGGAACGAUCGAACGAUUUAUAUAUCGAUGUCCGAUUUUUCUAGGAACGCUAUUUCUGUUUUUUCCAUCCAACAUCCUGUAUUCUUUGUAUUCUCAAUUAGCGCGACGCUUAACGAGCCUCGGCUCGUUAGCCGGCCGAUUCGUUGAUAAAAUACACGUUACAAUUCAACCAGCUA